Molecule: unclassified non-coding RNA, 376 nt
Filed under: soil metagenome
Description: partial contains 5.8S ribosomal RNA, internal transcribed spacer 2, and large subunit ribosomal RNA
Rfam family: 5.8S ribosomal RNA (bases 1-120)
Source: RNAcentral
GAUGAAGAACGUAGCGAAAUGCGAUAAGUAAUGUGAAUUGCAGAAUUCAGUGAAUCAUCGAAUCUUUGAACGCAUCUUGCGCUCCUUGGUAUUCUGAGGAGCAUGCCUGUUUGAGUGUCAUUAAAUUCUCAACUACACUGACUUUGAAUUGGUGUGGCUUGGAUUUGGGGGGAAAAUUGUUGUGGGCUUUUUGUAUAGUCUGCUCCCCUGAAAUUGAUUAGCGGUACCUUUGUGGAACUGUCUACAGGUGUGAUAAUUAUCUACAUCUUAGACAUCUGCUGGAAUGCUGCUUUCUAAACCUUACUUGUAUUGACAAUCUUGACCUCAAAUCAGGAAGGACUACCCGCUGAACUUAAGCAUAUCAAUAAGCGGAGGA